Molecule: ribosomal RNA, 496 nt
Filed under: uncultured bacterium
Lineage: Bacteria
Description: partial 16S ribosomal RNA
Rfam family: Bacterial small subunit ribosomal RNA
Source: RNAcentral
GAUGAACGCUGGCGGCGUGCCUAAUACAUGCAAGUCGAGCGAACAGACGAGGAGCUUGCUCCUCUGACGUUAGCGGCGGACGGGUGAGUAACACGUGGAUAACCUACCUAUAAGACUGGGAUAACUUCGGGAAACCGGAGCUAAUACCGGAUAAUAUAUUGAACCGCAUGGUUCAAUAGUGAAAGACGGUUUUGCUGUCACUUAUAGAUGGAUCCGCGCCGCAUUAGCUAGUUGGUAAGGUAACGGCUUACCAAGGCAACGAUGCGUAGCCGACCUGAGAGGGUGAUCGGCCACACUGGAACUGAGACACGGUCCAGACCCCUAGGGGAGGCCGCAGGAGGGAAUUUUCCGCAAUGGGCGAAAGCCUGACGGAGCAACGCCGGGUGGGUAAUGAAGGUUUUGGGAUCGUAAAACUCUGUUAUUAGGGAAGAAAAAAUGUGUAAGUAACUAGGCACGUUUUGACGGUACCAAAACAAAAAGCCCCGGCUAACUACGU